Molecule: long non-coding RNA, 1378 nt
Filed under: Bemisia tabaci
Lineage: Eukaryota; Metazoa; Arthropoda; Insecta; Hemiptera; Aleyrodidae
Description: lncRNA ENSSSA2NGG004396
Source: RNAcentral
AGACUGUUUUGGACAACAUUCAUAAUUUCCGGAUAGUAGUGAUAUGUGGCCCUUUCAUCUGCGAUCUUGGAUUAAUUGUGAUUUUUGGAACCUAAGCAAAGUAACAAGGAGUGAAGUGAAAGAAUCUCAAAGUGUUGGUUCAUGUCAACUGUUAACACCUUUCAGUCUGAUGACUUCCGGUCUGACUAGAGCUUGCUAAAAUGCAAGACCAGAGUGGCCAAACUCAAGUCAUGCAGCAGCAACCGCAGCAACAACAAAUGCAACAGCAAUCACAAAUGCAACAGCAGCAGCAACAGCAAAAUCAACAAAUGCAGCAGCAAGCCAUGCAAGUACAGCAGCAGGCCCAACAAAACUCCAUGCAGCAGCAGAUGCAGUCCCCAAUGCAGCAGCAGCCUCAGCAGCAAAUGCAGCAACAACUGCAGCAACAACAGAUGCAACAGCAACCGCAGCAGAUGCAGCAACAACAACAGUUGCAGCAGCAGCAGCUACAGCAGCAGCCGCAGCAAAUGCAGCAACAGCAACAGCUCCAGCCUCAACAACAAUUACAGCAGCAGCAGCUUCAGCAGCAACAACAGCAGCUUCAGCAGCAACAGCCGCUGCAAAUCCAGGGCCAACAGCUACAAGGGCCUCUGGGUCAAUGCCGGUCCAAGUCCAAGUGAUUCAGCAGCAACCACUGCAGAAUGCAGCAUACCUACCACAGUUCUAUAACCCACAAAAUGGUCAGAUCAUAAUGCCGUCAAAUUUGGGGGUCAAUCCAGGUGGCGCAAUUCAGGUCGUCGCAAAUAAAUCAGCCUCUUUUCCUGGUUACACCACUAUUCCUACAACUACCAAUCAAACCCUAGUCAUCAGUCAACUCGGAGUCAUUCCAUCACAACAAAAUAUUUUACCCGCUCACUCUACUGCUGGACAACAGAAACCCGAGAUGCAAAAGGUUCAGAAUGCGCAACCUGUGCAGUUCUCAUCUUGGAAUUUUGGCAGUUUACCCCAAAGCAUAGCGUGGACUACAACCCCGCAGCAACCUACUCUUUUGACCACUCAAAAUGCUAAUUUCAUCAGAGGUGCAAAUCCACCAGAGAAUAUUCAGCCAAAAACUAGUAUGGUUUCAUCUGUUGGAAGGCCUCUGUCAAACAUACUGCCUAGCUCAGCCAUUCGCCCUGCAAGUUCAGUAUCAACACAAACUGCUGGACAGCAGAUGACAGCAACCAUGGCACAAAAACAACAGGUAUACACAUAAUGGAGAAUUUGCAUGCAAAUUUUUUAUUGCUUCAUCUGAAAGUGCUUAAAGAGCUGAUUUCUCAGUAUGUUCUAUAAUUUUUUUCUGAUACAGAAAAUUGUAUAAAAAUAGAUUUAAAAGUGAGAAAAUGCACUGCCGACGUCA